GAUGAACGCUGACAGUAUGCUUAACACAUGCAAGUCUACCUGAACCUCGGUUUGGGUGGCGGCUGGGUGAGUAACGCGUAACGAACUUGCCUCACAGAUACGGACAACACUUGGAAACGAAUGCUAAUAUCUGAUAUUUUGAUUUUAGGGCAUCCUAGAAUUAUGAAAGCUAUAUGCACUGUUAGAGAGCUUUGCGUCUGGUUAGCUAGUUGGAGAGGUAACGGCUUACCAAGGCGAUGAUGGGUAGCCGGCCUGGGAGGGUGAUCGGCCACAAGGGGACUGGGACACGGCCCUUACUCCUACGGGGGGCAGCAGUGGGAAAUAUUGGACAAUGGACCAAGAGUCUGAUGCAGCAUUUCAGUGUGCACGAAGAAGUUUUUCGGAAGGUAAAGUGCUUUCAUUUGAGAAGAAAAAAAUGACGGUACCAACAGAAGAAGCGCCGGCUAACUACGUG
Molecule: ribosomal RNA, 454 nt
Filed under: uncultured bacterium
Lineage: Bacteria
Description: partial 16S ribosomal RNA
Rfam family: Bacterial small subunit ribosomal RNA
Source: RNAcentral